AUACGUAGGUGGCGAGCGUUGUCCGGAUUUACUGGGCGUAAAGGGAGCGUAGGCGGAUUUUAAGUGAGAUGUGAAAUACUCGGGCUUAACCUGAGUGCUGCAUUUCAAACUGGAAGUCUAGAGUGCAGGAGAGGAGAAGGGAAUUCCUAGUGUAGCGGUGAAAUGCGUAGAGAUUAGGAAGAACACCAGUGGCGAAGGCGCUUCUCUGGACUGUAACUGAAAACGCUGAGGCUCGAAAGCGUGGGGAGC
Molecule: ribosomal RNA, 249 nt
Filed under: uncultured bacterium
Lineage: Bacteria
Description: partial 16S ribosomal RNA
Rfam family: Bacterial small subunit ribosomal RNA
Source: RNAcentral